GUAGAACAGAUAAUCGCGGGUACAAUUUCCGAAAGGAAGUACGUGAGGAAAGUCCGGGCUUCACAGGGCAGGAUGCCGGAUAACGUCCGGUGGAGGCGACUCCAAGGCAGUGCAACAGAAAUAUACCGCCAUAUGUCAUAAGGAGGGACCCACGUAGUGGGAGGAUUCCUUAUGACACAGCGACAUUCGACCGAAGGGAGAAUGUUGUAAUAGAGGGACCCACAAUCCCAAACUCUGAGAGGGUAUCUCCUUAUGACAUAUGGUAAGGGUGGAAGGGCAGUGUAAGAGACUACCGCCGGUAUGGUAACAUAGCGGGCACAUGUAAACCCCAUCCGAAGCAAGACCGAACAGAAACAAUGGCGGCCCGUCAGUUUCGGGUAGGUCGCUUGAUUUAACUGGCAACAGUUAAACUAGAUAGAUGAUUAUCGAAUACAUAACCCGGCUCAUAGUUUUGCUCA
This 458-nucleotide RNase P RNA is filed under the name bovine gut metagenome. Its description in RNAcentral is "Bacterial RNase P class A". It matches the Rfam family "Bacterial RNase P class A". From Rfam's summary of the family: Ribonuclease P (RNase P) is a ubiquitous endoribonuclease, found in archaea, bacteria and eukarya as well as chloroplasts and mitochondria. Its best characterised activity is the generation of mature 5'-ends of tRNAs by cleaving the 5'-leader elements of precursor-tRNAs. The record is from RNAcentral.